This 498-nucleotide ribosomal RNA is filed under the name uncultured bacterium. RNAcentral describes it as "partial 16S ribosomal RNA". It matches the Rfam family "Bacterial small subunit ribosomal RNA", at positions 28 to 507 of the family's 1533-position model. The record is from RNAcentral.
GACGAACGCUGGCGGCGUGCCUAAUACAUGCAAGUCGAGCGGACGGAUGGGAGCUUGCUCCCAGACCGUCAGCGGCGGACGGGUGAGUAACACGUGGGCAACCUGCCUGUAAGACUGGGAUAACUCCGGGAAACCGGGGCUAAUACCGGAUAACUCUUUCCCUCACAUGAGGGAAAGCUGAAAGAUGGCAUCUCGCUAUCACUUACAGAUGGGCCCGCGGCGCAUUAGCUAGUUGGUGAGGUAACGGCUCACCAAGGCGACGAUGCGUAGCCGACCUGAGAGGGUGAGCGGCCACACUGGGACUGAGACACGGCCCAGACUCCUACGGGAGGCAGCAGUAGGGAAUCUUCCGCAAUGGACGAAAGUCUGACGGAGCAACGCCGCGUGAGUGAUGAAGGUUUUCGGAUCGUAAAACUCUGUUGUCAGGGAAGAACAAGUACCGGAGUAACUGCCGGUACCUUGACGGUACCUGACCAGAAAGCCACGGCUAACUACGUG